UGGGGAAUUUUGCACAAUGGGGGAAACCCUGAUGCAGCGACGCCGCGUGAUUUAGAAGGCCUUCGGGUUGUAAAAAUCUUUUCAAUGGGAAGAAAAUGACAGUACCAUAGGAAUAAGGACCGGCUAAUUACGUGCCAGCAGCCGCGGUAAUACGUAAGGUCCGAGCGUUGUCCGGAAUCAUUGGGCGUAAAGGGUACGUAGGCGGGUAAGCAAGUUAGAAGUGAAAUCCUGUAGCUCAACUAUAGUAAGCUUUUAAAACUGCUCAUCUUGAGAUAUGGAAGGGAAAGUGGAAUUCCUAGGGUAACGGUGAAAUGCGCAGAUAUUAGGAGGAAUACCGGUGGCGAAGGCGACUUUCUGGCCAUAAUCUGACGCUGAGGUACGAAAGCGUGGGUAGCAAACAGG
This 402-nucleotide ribosomal RNA is filed under the name Bacteroidota bacterium. Its description in RNAcentral is "Bacteroidetes bacterium partial 16S ribosomal RNA". It matches the Rfam family "Bacterial small subunit ribosomal RNA", at positions 355 to 776 of the family's 1533-position model. Lineage: Bacteria; Pseudomonadati; Bacteroidota. The record is from RNAcentral.